Molecule: ribosomal RNA, 245 nt
Filed under: uncultured Lutispora sp.
Lineage: Bacteria; Bacillati; Bacillota; Clostridia; Lutisporales; Lutisporaceae
Description: partial 16S ribosomal RNA
Rfam family: Bacterial small subunit ribosomal RNA
Source: RNAcentral
UACGUAGGGGGCGAGCGUUGUCCGGAAUUACUGGGCGUAAAGCGCGCGUAGGUGGCACAGUCAGUCUCGUGUGAAAGCCUCCGGCCCAACCGGAGAACGUCGCGAGAAACUGCUGAGCUUGGAGUGUCGGAGAGGGAAGUGGAAGUCCCGGAGUAGGGGUGAAAUCCGUAGAGACCGGGCCGAACACCAGUGGCGAAGGCGACUUCCUGGCCGACGACUGACGCUGAGGCGCGAAAGCGUGGGGA